CCCGCUGAACUUAAGCAUAUCAAUAAGCGGAGGAAAAGAAACCAACAGGGAUUGCCCUAGUAACGGCGAGUGAAGCGGCAACAGCUCAAAUUUGAAAUCUGGCUUCGGCCCGAGUUGUAAUUUGCAGAGGAAGCUUUAGGCGCGGCACCAACUGAGUCCCCUGGAACGGGGCGCCACAGAGGGUGAGAGCCCCGUAUAGUUGGACGCCUAGCCUGUGUAAAGCUCCUUCGACGAGUCGAGUAGUUUGGGAAUGCUGCUCAAAAUGGGAGGUAAAUUUCUUCUAAAGCUAAAUACCGGCCAGAGACCGAUAGCGCACAAGUAGAGUGAUCGAAAGAUGAAAAGCACUUUGAAAAGAGGGUUAAAUAGCACGUGAAAUUGUUGAAAGGGAAGCGCUUGUGACCAGACUUGCGCCCGGCUGAUCAUCCGGUGUUCUCACCGGUGCACUCUGCCGGGCUCAGGCCAGCAUCGGUUCUCGCGGGGGGAUAAAGGUCCUGGGAACGUAGCUCCUCCGGGAGUGUUAUAGCCCAGGGCGUCAUGCCCUCGCGGGGACCGAGGUUCGCGCAUCUGCAAGGAUGCUGGCGUAAUGGUCAUCAGCGACCCGUCUUGAAACACGG
This 614-nucleotide ribosomal RNA is filed under the name uncultured fungus. Its description in RNAcentral is "eukaryotic LSU rRNA". It matches the Rfam family "Eukaryotic large subunit ribosomal RNA", at positions 24 to 664 of the family's 3401-position model. The record is from RNAcentral. Lineage: Eukaryota; Fungi.